Molecule: long non-coding RNA, 514 nt
Organism: Pieris napi
Lineage: Eukaryota; Metazoa; Arthropoda; Insecta; Lepidoptera; Pieridae
Exons: 3
Source: RefSeq, a predicted model, not a curated record
CUGUCAGUUUGACGUUUCCAUUCGCGGUUAUUUUGAUACGAGCCACGAGGUUGUUUAUUUUGAUAAUCAUAACCAGUUUUAAAAGAUUUUAAAAUGCUUAAUAAUAAAAGGGAACGCUGAAUUAAUUGGGAGUUAGAAGAAAUGCAACUUUUUAGAAAUAUAUAACGACCCUAUUUAUCCAUAAUUGAAAACAAAGUUUUUAGUACGAACACAAAUAAGGCGAAAAUGAAGGCUUGGAGCGAAAUAACAGAGAAGAAAACCACAUUUUAACAAAAACAAAUAAAGAAAGUUUUAGUUUCGGGGAAGCCUCAUAUGCAGAUAAACAUAGUUUUUGACCUCUGGAAAAUGAGAACCUUCAAAAUCAAUCUAUCUAAUAUAAUAUAAAUUUUAAUUUACAGACAGAUAUUCUAGUAAAGACUUUAGUCGUCACUUUAAAAUAAAUAAAAUAUUCUAAUAAAAAUGUUUCACAAAUAAAUAUAACAAUGUAUUAAAAAUGUUUUAUUUGUUAAAAUAA